Non-coding RNA from Ciona intestinalis (vase tunicate), 2172 nucleotides. The record is from RefSeq and is a predicted model, not a curated record. Lineage: Eukaryota; Metazoa; Chordata; Ascidiacea; Phlebobranchia; Cionidae.
GUUGCCUCCGGCACAAUCACCUAAGAGCUCUGAAACACCAGUUCUUAAUGACAUACUACUGGCAGCAGUCGCAGGCAAAGUCUUCUCUUUUUAAGAAUCCAGUAAGAAGUCACUGUAGUUGAACACUGGUAGAUGCUUUUACUGUGAGUGAAGUUUUCUGUAGCUUAUAUUUUGUGAUAUGUUAAAGAAGUUUGCUGUGAUUAUAUUCACACUAGCUUGCUUCACUACGUUCCUAACGAUCCAACAGACAUCUCGGUACCACCUGUCUAUGAAGAUGACCGCCAUUGACGCGCGUAUACGACGCCAAAGGGCAAUUCAUACAGACACCAAACUAACCCACAAAAGUGGUAUGGCAAUGGAAAAGUCGUCCAGCAACUCAAACAACGCUCGUCAAAUUGACAAACUGGUUCAGAAAUAUUAUAACAACUUGUUCGCUACUGAUGAGUAUAAAGCUGUUGGACCCAAAAAACGAAAACCCGAUAUGAAUAAUUUGCUGAUACCGUUUCUGUUUUACAACAUGGGACCGAACAACUUGUUCAGAAUAUUCAAAGAGUCGAUCCCAAUUAUACAUAUGAUGAACAGAACGUUGGUCGUCCCACCGUUUCACCAUCACCCGCGAAUGAAACGACUAAACGAAGAUCAAAGCGACAAAACGGUCGAAGUCGACGUUGAUAUUUUCGACCAAACUUACAGAUCGUUUGUGGAGACGGAUGCUAAAAAGACAGUGGAUAUGAAAACACUGCAAUACAUAAUACCGGCCAUUCCUAUUAAACGGUUUCACUCGACGUGUGGAAACAAAAUCAACACAUUGAUCACAUGCGGUAUAGUGAGCGGAAAGCGGGCAAGCGGGUUGACGCAUUUCAAGCAAGUCACAAAUCUGACAGUUGGUCGAGUUUUUAAAGUUGAGCAUUUGAAAGACGUGUCAAGUGAUAAAGAAUGGAAAAUGAACGUUAUGACUGCUGUACAAAACACUAAGGGACAAAAGUGUGUGGGGUUGGUCCUUGGCAGCAAGUGUUUGGGAAGCAGAGGUGCUUGGUUUAGACAUUGGCGAUCGUUCGCCCCCUUUGUACGCCACCCACCUAAGAUACAGGUAUUAGCAAACUUGUUCACUGAAAAUGUAUUGAAAGGCGAACCGUUGCUUGCUGUGCAUUGGCGAUAUGAAAACACAGACUGGCAAGAUAUGUGCAAAGCUUCCAGACCUGACUCCGUGCGUAAAAUCAACGCCCCAGUGUGUGAGUUAGCACGCCAACUAACGACCAACUCAUCGUUUCUGACGUCACUAGCCAAGAAGUUGCAUUCUUAUGCGAUGGAAAAGAAUUUGAAACACGUUUUCUUCGCAGCUCCCCCGCAGUUAACUGACACGCUUGAAGCUCUCAAAUCCCGAAUGCCAGACCUUUACGUCACUUCUGACGUACAAGCCUUCGCUGAAAACAACAAGUUCGGUGCAGAUAUUUUCAACAACAACUUUGCCACGUCGUUCCUGGAACAAGAAAUUUGCUGUCUGGCCAAAGUAUUUCUUGGUAGUCCUCUGUCAUCGUGGACACAAAGCGUGAUGUUUGACCGAGUUGCUCGUGGUAAUUCUCAACAUUCAAGUCUGUUGGAAGUUCUUUUCAAAGAUUCGUCCACCCUUCCAAAGCUGACGUGGUACUUUCCUGAGGGCGUUUGAUUGACAGGGCAGUAGGACCUACGUCAGUUGAGUGAGAUCCACUAAACAUAAGGGAGUUGGAUACGAGGCUCAUCUCGUAAAGGAGAUAACUUGUGGCUAGCAUAAAAGAAAAGGACAGAAGGUCGUGUGUCGAUUAAACUCACAAACUUUGAACGUGCACAGAUUUGUGUUGGAUUUUCACUUUGCACUGUGUGUUGUCUUGUAACGUUAGAUAUACUACUAUGGGGGGAGACGGGACACCUUUAGUGUGUUUUAAACAAUAAACAAUGGGUCGUGAGGAUACGGUUUUAUGAAUGUUUGCGAGUGCUUCAUUUACUAUCAAAUGCGACGAGAAAAUGGAAUGAAAAUGUGCCCUAUCUUCCUCCACAUUGAUAAUUAAACCGAUGCAACCUCUUUUGUACUCCUACUCCUUAAUAUAAAAUCCGUGUGUAUAAUAAAGUUUCGUGAUAUUUUAAUGCUUUUUAUCUCCCUCCAAAUAAGCCCUUAAUAAAGAUUACACCGUUGAC